Molecule: ribosomal RNA, 613 nt
Filed under: Malassezia nana
Lineage: Eukaryota; Fungi; Basidiomycota; Malasseziomycetes; Malasseziales; Malasseziaceae
Description: eukaryotic LSU rRNA
Rfam family: Eukaryotic large subunit ribosomal RNA
Source: RNAcentral
CGGAGGAAAAUAAACUAACAAGGAUUCCCCUAGUAACGGCGAGCGAAGCGGGAAGAGCUCAAAUUUGAAAGCUGGCGCCUUCGGCGUCCGCGUUGUAAUCUCGAGACGUGUUUUCCGUGCGGCGCUAUGGACAAGUCCCUUGGAACAGGGCAUCGUAGAGGGUGAAAAUCCCGUACUUGCCAUGGAUGUACCGUGCUUUGUGAUACACGCUCUAAGAGUCGAGUUGUUUGGGAUUGCAGCUCAAAAUGGGUGGUAGACUCCAUCUAAAGCUAAAUAUCGGGGAGAGACCGAUAGCGAACAAGUACCGUGAGGGAAAGAUGAAAAGCACUUUGGAAAGAGAGUUAAAAGUACGUGAAAUUGUCGAAAGGGAAGCGCUUGAAGUCAGCCAUGCUGCGCGGACUCAGCCCGGCUGAUGCCUGGUGUAUUUCCCAGCAGCAAGCCAGCAUGGAUUUGGGUCGCCGGAGAAGGGCACGAGGAAUGUGGCACUUCGUGUGUGUUAAGCCUCGUGCUGGAUACGGCGAGCUGGAUCCAGGAACGCAGUGUGCCUCUGGCGGGUCUUCGGACACCUUCACACUUAGGAUGCUGGCGUAAUGGCUUUAAGCGGCCCGUCUUG